UUUACAUAUUAGCUUAUAGCAUACAUCUUCUAUUCCUCAUCAGUUAAAUCAGUACAUUUCAAUUCCAAAUGUAUUAGUUCAUUCUUGUGCCAAUGUUUCUUUUAGGGGUGUCUGCUAGUUCCAAUCACAUAAAAUUUAUUCCAUAUAAUUGUUUUCUGAAUCUGUUAAUAGCAGAUUCUGCCAUUGAUUAAGGCUAGUGGCCGUAUGCCAUGAAUACUUUUAUCUUCACAAAUAGAAUAUUCUCUUGAUACUUGUGAUAUUAAUUUUGUUUAUAGGAGACAUGUCUUCGUCUUCAUCCACAAUGUGUCAAACAUUUUUGAAAUCCAUAUUUGAUGAUAGAAUAUUGGAAGUAUUCAGAAGAAUCUUCUGGAACUGAUGUAAGAUUCUUUACCCAGCAAUUUGUUGCCAUUGAAGAUCCAUGAUAUGUUUUACAAAAGGAAUGGUAAAUUCUAAAAUGGGCAAUUACAUGCUUCAUACCUAAAUUCCACCUACCAUUUCAAUUGGAGAAAUUAUUCUCCAUUUCCCCUCCUAUGACAAUGUUAUGCAGCAUUAACUGGUGCAGAGUGACUGCCAUAUUCCAUUCCAGAAAGCUCAUAUGCUGUUACAAGCAAAAAGGGAGAAAGGUCUAAGCAAAAUAUCUAGUCUUUUUUUAAUCUUCUGUUUUCCAUCCACCCCCCAAAUAUAUUAUGAUCUGCUAGUAAUUUGCUGCAUGAACUAGACAGAGCUGGAAUAAAGCAAUCAGGACUUCAAGCAUACCAUAAGAUGGGCCACCUGCACUGUCCAGCCUCUGCAUUAUGGCCCUGUCUCCCAAUGAAGUGGCAGUGACAGGUGCCAUAUACACGAGCCAUUUACUGGGCUUUUGAAGGGGGAAGCUGUCACCAUUCCUCUCUUGUGGCAGACAGGCAGGGGCAUCAACCUAGUUUUUAAAGCCUGAAGCUAGGCACCUAACUCCAUACUUAGACACACAAAAAGUUUGAUCAUCAGAGGUACUGAACUCCCAAGACCCCUAUUAACUUCAGUGAGUGUUCAGAUCUGAUCCAUUGAUAAGUAUAAUACACAUAUACCCUCUUGAGCAGUCCUGUGGUCAAAAUGCUUCCUGCUUCCAAGUUCUAUCACCAACUAACUGUUAAUGAAAGAAACAAAUAAUUACCAUAUAAAAGCUUGUUACAGUCACAUUUCACCUCUCUAACCACAAAUAGAUCUGAUCAGGAAUUUUUUGGCAAAAUGUUUUUGUUGACCAAAUGGCUAUUUGUCGACACCAAAACUUUGUGGCAAUGCAUCUUUUUUAGUGAUGUUUUGCAGGUCAACGAUGGAAUGUCAGGUGGGACGGAGAAACGGACAUAGGCCAAUAGCCUGGUGAUAAGGGCACUCACCUAGAUGUGAGAGAUCCAGGUCCAAGUCCCUGCUCUGGUGGCUUCAUUGUGUGCAAAGUGCUUGAAAUCUGCAAAUAACAAGAGGUUUUUAUGUGUGGACAGAAGGAAGAUUGAGAGCAACACCCAAGUAAGAGCCCAGUUGAACACUGCAGUAAAGCUAUACCCGGAACCCCCUACACACCAGUGGAGCACUUCUGCCAGAUAAGGAUGCAACUGAGGAGGAGCAUGGAGGACAUGUUUUGAGAGGGCAAUCACUUAUAAAACUAUAUUUCUAAGAGGAUCCAUCUUUAAAAUGUGCCAUUGUUUCCCAGUUAUCAUUCUUAACAUGGGAGUUGGAAGAAACCUCAGUGAAGCUGAUGGGCAUAACUGCUGCCCGUCAUUCAGGAUAAACAUAAGAAAUAACCAAGCCUCUUCGUGGAAUCAGAUAGCUGAAACAAUAGGAUCCACUGCCACCAACACAGGCACAUGGCAAAACUGGAUUGGAAGAUGAACCAUGUAGCCCAAGGUGUUUCUCUGGAGACUGAUACAGUGCAAACAGGAGCUGGGGAAUUGAUUGAGCUGAAUGCAGGAGAGAAGCAGCAGAAACACAGAACAACACAAAAAAGGAGUAAAGAAGCCCAGAUAUACCAAGAAAAAUCCUGGUAACAUGACCCUGAGGGGGAAAAAAGCUAAGACAGCACUCUUUGGAUAAAGGUUGUCUGACAGAAGCUUGGAACUAUGAGCAAAGAAACUGUCUCCUGUGGUUCAAUUUCUACUUUG
Long non-coding RNA from Trachemys scripta elegans, 2132 nucleotides. RefSeq lists it as uncharacterized. NCBI's taxonomy places the organism in Eukaryota, Metazoa, Chordata, Testudines, Emydidae. The transcript is spliced from 5 exons. The record is from RefSeq and is a predicted model, not a curated record.